RNAcentral lists this unclassified non-coding RNA (240 nucleotides) under soil metagenome. RNAcentral describes it as "partial contains 5.8S ribosomal RNA, internal transcribed spacer 2, and large subunit ribosomal RNA". The record is from RNAcentral.
AACCAUUCUCACCUGCGGCUAGACCUGCGGAGGGAUCAUUAACGUGCCGUGAAGAUCUGCCUUUAAACGGGUUAGAUCUUUCACAUGGCUCACCCUUGUUUAGCUUUAAUUGUUGCUUUGGUGGGCCUGCUGAUAAGGCUGCCGGGGAAAAUUUAAUUUCCGGGCUCGUGUUCACCAAAGUCUUUAAUGAACUCUGAGUUUGUCUUUAGUUGUCUGAGUUAUGAAAAGAAAUUUAUUUUA